Molecule: long non-coding RNA, 479 nt
Filed under: Cyanistes caeruleus (blue tit)
Lineage: Eukaryota; Metazoa; Chordata; Aves; Passeriformes; Paridae
Description: lncRNA (ENSCCEG00000019460.1)
Source: RNAcentral
GCUUUAUUUCACUGCAAGCUCUUCUUCCAGCACCAGAUGCGUGAUUCUGCAAUGCUGCUGGCUGAAACUUCUCCAGCUCCAGAUGCGUGUUUCUUCAAUGCUGCUGGCUGAAACUUCUCCAGUCACAGGACCCAGCCCCAACAUCCAUAUCACAGCCUACAGUGAUUCCUGCACACAGAUCCUACAGUGGCAAUCCCAGUAUCAGUCCCUAUCCCAGCCCCACAGUGAUUUCAGCUCUAGCCCUGGAGAGCCCUUCCCAGCCCCAGUGAUUUCAGCUCUUGGCCCACAAGCUUUAUUUAACUGCAUGCUCUCUUCUUCCAGCUGCAGAUGCGUGUUUCUUCAAUGCUGCUGGCAGAAACUUCUCCAGCUCCAGAUGCGUGUUUCUUGAAUGCUGCUGGCAGAAACUUCUCCAGGUACAAGGCGCAGGAUCUUCCUCCUGUCUCCAGCUUGGCAACAUUUCAGCUCCCACCCUAGGGCCU